CCUACGGGAGGCAGCAGUGGGGAAUUUUGGACAAUGGGCGCAAGCCUGAUCCAGCAAUGCCGCGUGAGUGAAGAAGGCCUUCGGGUUGUAAAGCUCUUUUGUCAGGGAAGAAACGGUGGGAGCUAAUAUCUCUCACUAAUGACGGUACCUGAAGAAUAAGCACCGGCUAACUACGUGCCAGCAGCCGCGGUAAUACGUAGGGUGCAAGCGUUAAUCGGAAUUACUGGGCGUAAAGCGUGCGCGGGCGGUUUUGUAAGUCUGUCGUGAAAGCCCCGGGCUCAACCUGGGAAUUGCGAUGGAGACUGCAAGGCUUGAAUCUGGCAGAGGGGGGUAGAAUUCCACGUGUAGCAGUGAAAUGCGUAGAGAUGUGGAGGAACACCGAUGGCGAAGGCAGCCCCCUGGGUCAAGAUUGACGCUCAUGCACGAAAGCGUGGGGAGCAAACAGGAUUAGAUACCCUGGUAGUCCACGCCCUAAACGAUGUCUACUAGUUGUCGGGUUUUAAUUAACUUGGUAACGCAGCUAACGCGUGAAGUAGACCGCCUGGGGAGUACGGUCGCAAGAUUAAAACCUCAAAGAGUAGUACGGACGCGAGAGAGACGACGACGACGACGACGGAGGGAGGAGG
This 626-nucleotide ribosomal RNA is filed under the name uncultured bacterium. Its description in RNAcentral is "bacterial SSU rRNA". It matches the Rfam family "Bacterial small subunit ribosomal RNA", at positions 338 to 1252 of the family's 1533-position model. The record is from RNAcentral.